AACUGAUACUACCUGCGGGAACCUGCGGAAGGAUCAUUACCGAGUUUACAACUCCCAAACCCAAUGUGAACGUUACCAAACUGUUGCCUCGGCGGGAUCUCUGCCCCGGGUGCGUCGCAGCCCCGGACCAAGGCGCCCGCCGGAGGACCAACCAAAACUCUUUUGUAUACCCCCUCGCGGGUUUUUAUAUCUGAGCCAUCUCGGCGCCUCUCGUAGGCGUUUCGAAAAUGAAUCAAAACU
This 240-nucleotide unclassified non-coding RNA is filed under the name soil metagenome. Its description in RNAcentral is "partial contains 5.8S ribosomal RNA, internal transcribed spacer 2, and large subunit ribosomal RNA". The record is from RNAcentral.